AUACGUAGGUGACAAGCGUUAUCCGGAUUUACUGGGCGUAAAGGGCGUGUAGGCGGUCUUGCAAGUCAGAAGUGAAAUUCCUGAGCUCAACUCGGGCGCUGCUUCUGAAACUGCAGGACUUGAGUGCUGGAGGGGAUAGCGGAAUUCCUAGUGGAGCGGUAAAAUGCGCAGAUAUUAGGAAGAACACCGGUGGCGAAGGCGGCUAUCUAGACAGUAGCUGACGCUGAGGCGCGAAAGCGUGGGGAGCAAGCAGGAUUAGAUGCCCCGGGAUCCCACGCAGUAAGCGAUGAAUACUAGGUGUAGGGGGACUGACCGCCUCCGUGCCGCAGUUAACACAAUAAGUAUGCCUCCCGGGCGGUACGAUCGCAAGAUUGAAACUCAAAGGAAUUGACGGGC
This 396-nucleotide ribosomal RNA is filed under the name uncultured bacterium. RNAcentral describes it as "partial 16S ribosomal RNA". It matches the Rfam family "Bacterial small subunit ribosomal RNA", at positions 523 to 918 of the family's 1533-position model. The record is from RNAcentral.